RNAcentral lists this long non-coding RNA (3091 nucleotides) under Salmo salar (Atlantic salmon). RNAcentral describes it as "lncRNA (ENSSSAG00000083619.1)". Lineage: Eukaryota; Metazoa; Chordata; Actinopteri; Salmoniformes; Salmonidae. The record is from RNAcentral.
CAAGCUUCGGUACAUUGUUUUGGAUCAGUAGUGCUUUGAAAACUACGUCGGAACUCCGGUAUCAAUCAUCCCAUCACUCGGUCUAUCCAUAGGUGUGUAUCCUGACUGUGGGAAAUUUCCCCCCAAAUUAUUGCCUGCAAUAUUCAACAACAGAUUACAUUAGUGUUACUCAAAUCUUGCAGAUGUUGGUGGACUGUAUAUUCUUCAGAUUACGUUUUACUUUAUGUGUUUGCUCCCGUGUGCUGGUAAGGGCACAGAUGAGACAGGUAGGAUUCCAGUUGAGGUGGUUUAAUAACGCUGAAGAUGCACAGGCAUGGAACAGCACCGCACACUGUAUGUAGUCGAUGGGCUAUAAGGCACUUAGUGGUCUGGCAUCUUGCUUCAGCCAAAGUGUGUGUGUGUGGUCUGCAAAUAAAGAGAGAAAUAAAGAUACAAUAGUGAAUGACAGAAUACAAAACACAUAUCCUAUAAACAAUAUGCAUGGCUAUAACAUGACUGUGACGACUUAAUGAUGUACAGGACCAUACAGCGCAAUAAAACGUGAAUGUGACUGCACUAAUUUAAGAUUAAAGUGGUGCCGCUGCACUAGUGAUAGGCAUUCCAGCUCUUUUCAGUGAGCCGGCUCGUUCGGCUCAGCUCACCAAAAAGUGCCGGCUCUUUUGGCCCCCAAACGACUCUUUAAAAAAUAUAUGUUUUGUAUUUUUUAAAGUCAGACAUUUAGCGAUAGUUUCACUAUGAUUGGUGUUAAACAAUUCUAAUUAAAUUAUUAAAUGAUAUCAUACUCUACCUUAACCACAAUGUAUUUAAAAAUGCAUUGGUUUGUUAUGAAAAAUAAUGCUAUUAAACAUUUGAAGUAUAACUUUUUAAUGUAUAUAAACAAAGUGCAUAUAAAUCUAACCAUUGAAAACGAAUACAAUCUGAACAGCAUAAUAUAAUAUUGCACCUUAUCAAAGAAAAAUAAAUAACAAUUUGGAAAACUGCAGCAUCCCACAAAUUGAAAUAAAUGUAAAAAAGAAGGAUGCUAUUACACAUGUGCAUUUAAAGUAUACAUUUUUUAAUGUAUAUAAACAAAGUGCAUAUAAAUGUAACAAUUCAAAACGAAUAUAAUCUGAACAAUAUAAUAAUAGAAUAUUGCUCCAUAUCAAAGAAAAAUAAAUAAUGUGCAAAACUGCAGCAUCCCACUUAAAACAUUAAACUGGUCCCUCUUUUCUCUCUCUUUAUUGUCAUGUUAUAACCAGCAGCACACAGCAAUGCUGACCAUAUUUAGCUUUUAUGAGAGAUUUUCAUUCAGAAAUGCAAGCUGCCUCACUUUUGUGGGGCUGAUGGGGUUUCUUCUCUCAGUAAUUAUUUGUCCCGUUUUCGAGAAGACCCUCUCAGAGGGAACGGAUGUGACCACUAUGCAGAGUCUCCCUGUCAUGACUUUAGUAAGCUGUGGGUAGACAGAGGCCUUGUUCUUUCACCAGCUCCAGGGGCUCCUCCAAAUAGGAUCGGACCUCCAUUAUGGCAUCUGCUGAGGGAUUCCUUCGUGCUGCAUCCCCAGUUGUUCUCUCAUCAAACAGCAUCCAAACAGCAGACGUUUGUGGCACUACUGCUGGUGCUUCUGCUCCAUCUGCUCCAUCUUCUUCCUGGUGCCUGAGCCAGCUGACUGCUGGGGCUGUCCCUCCCUGCUGCUGAGUGACCUGCUCAAAGGGUUCCAGGACUCUGCACACCUCAUUCACCACCUCCCAUUCCUCUUGGGCCAGAGCAUCAACAGGUGCAUUGUGACAAUGGCCAGGGUAGAGAUGAUGGCAUCCUUUGACUCAAGAAGCCGCUUCAACAUAUACAAUGUUGAAUUCCACCUUGUAGUGCAGUCUUGUUUAGGCCUCAGCUCAGGCAUCCCCAUCUGGCAUUGUGUAGACUAGUUUUUCAGCACUUACUGUGCUCCUGUGGUGGAAGUAUUCCACAGCUGCUUUCACUUUGUCCACAGUGGGCUUCAUCACCUUCAGAGCAUCUCUUACAAUCAGUCCACCUGGCCGUGCUGCUGCUCCAGUUUCAACUGUUCUGCCUGCGGCUAUGGAACCCUGACCUGUUCACCGGACGUGCUUGUUGCACCCUUGACAACUAUUAUGAUUAUUAUUAUUUGACCAUGCUGGUCAUUUAUGAACAUUUUAACAUUUUAACAUCUUGACCAUGUUCUGUUAUAAUAUCCACCCUGCACAGCCAGAAGAGGACUGGCCACCCCUCAUAGCCUGGUUCCUCUCUAGGUUUCUUCCUAGGUUUUUGGCCUUUUCUAGGGAGUUUUUCCUAGGGAGUUUUUCCUAGCCACCGUGCUUCUUUCACAUGUUUUGCUUGCUGUUUGGGGUUUUAGGCUGGGUUUCUGUACAGCACUUUGAGAUAUCAGCUGAUGUACGAAGGGCUAUAUAAAAAUAAAUUUGAUUUGAUUUGAUUUGAUAUGGAACAAUGGGUCAAUAUUACACAGAAACAAGAUGUUAUUUAAUCAUAAAUGGUUCUCGAAAAACAUUGUACUUGUCAGCCAAUUAGUUAAUAUUAGUGGGAAUCUAUUUACACGGAGAGAAUUUAUGGAAAGAUACAACUUUGAAGUUUCAAGCAAGGAUUAUGUCACUGUUAUUAAAGCUAUACCUAGUGGGAUAAAAACUUUACUUCAGAAUAAUGCAUAUUUUGGAAUAUCUCCGAUUGUAAGAGAUAUCCAGGUGAAUGGCAUUGGUCUACUAGAUACAAAUUCAACAAUCGUUCAUUAAGGGAUAUUUUCUACAGGAAGUCUAUUCCCUCUGCGAUAUUUUGUUGGGCUUCAUCGUUUGAUGUAAACUGGCGCCGUGCUUGGCUCACUCCACACAAAUUUAUGGUGACCAAUAAAGCAAAGGAGAUCUCCUUUAAGAUUAUCCAUAGAUUCUAUCCGUGUAAUAGCUUGAUUUCUAAGUAUAUACCUGAUGUUACCACUGAAUGCAGUUUUUGUGAACCAGAAACUGAAUCUUUUGAACACUUAUUCUGUCAUUGUUUAUAUAGUGAAGUGUUCUGGACUGAUGUAAAACUAUAUCUUGGCCUCAAAUUGCAUACAACCAUUGAAAUGUCUAAGUUUGACAUAUUAUUUUAC